This 198-nucleotide unclassified non-coding RNA is filed under the name Limosilactobacillus fermentum. RNAcentral describes it as "Lactobacillus fermentum partial 16S-23S ribosomal RNA intergenci spacer". The record is from RNAcentral. Lineage: Bacteria; Bacillati; Bacillota; Bacilli; Lactobacillales; Lactobacillaceae.
GAUCACCUCCUUUCUAAGGAAUUAAUCGGAAACCUACACAUUGUCGAAACAAUGUUCAGUUUUGAGGGGUUUACCUCUCAGCUUGUACUUUGAAAACUAAAUAAUAUCAGUUUCUAAUAAAAUCAAGAAAACCGAUAACACCGCGUUAUUUGAGUUUUUAACGAAUUAUAAUCGCAUACUCAACUAACUUGACUGAUC